UUUCGGAGUUUCACUCCCAACCCAUGUGAACAUACCUACUGUUGCUUCGGCGGGAUUGCCCCGGGCGCCUCGUGUGCCCCGGAUCAGGCGCCCGCCUAGGAAACUCAACUCUUGUUUUAUUUUGGAAUCUUCUGAGUAGUUUUUACAAAUAAAUAAAAACUUUCAACAACGGAUCUCUUGGUUCUGGCAUCGAUGAAGAACGCAGCGAAAUGCGAUAAGUAAUGUGAAUUGCAGAAUUCAGUGAAUCAUCGAAUCUUUGAACGCACAUUGCGCCCGCCAGUAUUCUGGCGGGCAUGCCUGUCUGAGCGUCAUUUCAACCCUCAUGCCCCUAGGGCGUGGUGUUGGGGAUCGGCCAAAGCCCGCGAGGGACGGCCGGCCCCUAAAUCUAGUGGCGGACCCGUCGUGGCCUCCCCUGCGAAGUAGUGAUAUUCCGCAUCGGAGAGCGACGAGCCCCUGCCGUUAAACCCCCAACUUUCCAAGGUUGACCUCAGAUCAGGUAGGAAUACCCGCUGAACUUAAGCAUAUCAAUAAGGCGGAGGAA
RNAcentral lists this ribosomal RNA (541 nucleotides) under Clonostachys rosea. RNAcentral describes it as "eukaryotic LSU rRNA". The stretch from base 158 to 311 matches the Rfam family "5.8S ribosomal RNA". The record is from RNAcentral. Lineage: Eukaryota; Fungi; Ascomycota; Sordariomycetes; Hypocreales; Bionectriaceae.